GAGAAAUGAUGAGCUUUCACUUCUGGUCCGUGUUUCUGAUGGCUGAUGAUUUCGAAGCUCUGAUCUC
This is a small nucleolar RNA of Mobula hypostoma (lesser devil ray), 67 nucleotides long. RefSeq annotates it as small nucleolar RNA SNORD18. The record is from RefSeq and is a predicted model, not a curated record. The transcript has a single exon. Lineage: Eukaryota; Metazoa; Chordata; Chondrichthyes; Myliobatiformes; Myliobatidae.